Molecule: ribosomal RNA, 497 nt
Filed under: uncultured bacterium
Lineage: Bacteria
Description: partial 16S ribosomal RNA
Rfam family: Bacterial small subunit ribosomal RNA
Source: RNAcentral
GAUGAACGCUGGCGGCGUGCCUAAUACAUGCCAGUCGAGCGAACAGACGAGGAGCUUGCUCCUCUGACGUUAGCGGCGGACGGGUGAGUAACACGUGGAUAACCUACCUAUAAGACUGGGAUAACUUCGGGAAACCGGAGCUAAUACCGGAUAAUAUAUUGAACCGCAUGGUUCAAUAGUGAAAGACGGUUUUGCUGUCACUUAUAGAUGGAUCCGCGCCGCAUUAGCUAGUUGGUAAGGUAACGGCUUACCAAGGCAACGAUGCGUAGCCGACCUGAGAGGGUGAUCGGCCACACUGGAACUGAGACACGGUCCAGACUCCUACGGGAGGCAGCAGUAGGGAAUCUUCCGCAAUGGGCGAAAGCCUGACGGAGCAACGCCGCGUGAGUGAUGAAGGUCUUCGGAUCGUAAAACUCUGUUAUUAGGGAAGAACAAAUGUGUAAGUGACUAUGCACGUCUUGACGGUACCUAAUCAGAAAGCCACGGCUAACUACGUG